GACGAACGCUGGCGGCGUGCUUAACACAUGCAAGUCGAACGGAAAGGCCCUGCUUUCGUGGGGUGCUCGAGUGGCGAACGGGUGAGUAACACGUGAGUAACCUGCCCUUGACUUUGGGAUAACUUCAGGAAACUGGGGCUAAUACCGGAUAGGAGCUCCUGCUGCAUGGUGGGGGUUGGAAAGUUUCGGCGGUCGGGGAUGGACUCGCGGCUUAUCAGCUUGUUGGUGGGGUAGUGGCUUACCAAGGCUUUGACGGGUAGCCGGCCUGAGAGGGUGACCGGCGACAAUGGGACUGAGAUACGGCGCAGACGCGUACGGGAGGCAGCAGUGGGGAAUAUGGCACAAUGGGCGGAAGCCUGAUGCAGCAACGCCGCGUGCGGGAUGACGGCCUUCGGGGUGUAAACCGCUUUCGCCUGUGACGAAGCGUGAGUGACGGUAAUGGGUAAAGAAGCACCGGCUAACUACGUG
Molecule: ribosomal RNA, 468 nt
Filed under: uncultured bacterium
Lineage: Bacteria
Description: partial 16S ribosomal RNA
Rfam family: Bacterial small subunit ribosomal RNA
Source: RNAcentral